RNAcentral lists this unclassified non-coding RNA (250 nucleotides) under Basidiomycota sp. RNAcentral describes it as "partial contains small subunit ribosomal RNA, internal transcribed spacer 1, and 5.8S ribosomal RNA". The stretch from base 1 to 47 matches the Rfam family "Eukaryotic small subunit ribosomal RNA", at positions 1785 to 1831 of the family's 1831-position model. The record is from RNAcentral. Lineage: Eukaryota; Fungi; Basidiomycota.
AAAGUCGUAACAAGGUUUCCGUAGGUGAACCUGCGGAAGGAUCAUUACAAAUCCAACGUCUCCUUGCCGAGACCACGUUGAACUGUUCCCGGCACGCGGAGCGCGCGGCUGGCCGGAGAUCUUCUCCGCGCCGCUGCGCCUUCCCGUGCCGACCCCUUUUACAACCUAGUGUGACCGUUGCUGCAUAUGUAUGUCUUUUGUUAACACACACAACAAGAAACAACUUAUAACAAUGGAUCUCUAGGCUCUU